RNAcentral lists this ribosomal RNA (459 nucleotides) under uncultured bacterium. RNAcentral's name for it is "partial 16S ribosomal RNA". It matches the Rfam family "Bacterial small subunit ribosomal RNA", at positions 338 to 795 of the family's 1533-position model. The record is from RNAcentral.
CCUACGGGGGGCAGCAGUGAGGAAUAUUGGUCAAUGGGAGAGAUCCUGAACCAGCCAAGCCGCGUGAGGGAAGACGGCCCUAUGGGUUGUAAACCUCUUUUGUCGGAGAACAAAACCCGGGACGUGUCCCGGACUGCGUGUAUCCGAAGAAAAAGCAUCGGCUAACUCCGUGCCAGCAGCCGCGGUAAUACGGAGGAUGCGAGCUGUAUCCGGAUUUAUUGGGUUUAAAGGGUGCGUAGGCGGUCCGUUAAGUCAGCGGGAAAAUUGCGGGGCUCAACCCCGUCGAGCCGUUGAAACUGGCAGACUUGAGUUGGCGAGAAGUACGCGGAAUGCGCGGUGUAGCGGUGAAAUGCAUAGAUAUCGCGCAGAACUCCGAUUGCGAAGGCAGCGUACCGGCACCAGACUGACGCUGAGGCACGAAAGCGUGGGGAUCGAACAGGAUUAGAUACCCUAGUAGUC